Molecule: transfer RNA, 72 nt
Filed under: Camelus bactrianus (Bactrian camel)
Lineage: Eukaryota; Metazoa; Chordata; Mammalia; Artiodactyla; Camelidae
Also listed under: 1 other name
Rfam family: tRNA
About the family: Transfer RNA (tRNA) molecules are approximately 80 nucleotides in length.
Source: Rfam by way of RNAcentral
GAAGGUAUAGCUCAGUGGUACAGCGUGUGCUCAGCAGGCAUGAGGUCCUGGGUUCAAUCCCCAGUUCCUCCA